GAUGAACGCUGGCGGCGUGCUUAACACAUGCAAGUCGAACGAAGCACUUUAACCUGAUUCUUCGGAUGAAGGUUUUUGUGACUGAGUGGCGGACGGGUGAGUAACGCCUGGGUAACCUGCCUCAUACAGGGGGAUAACAGCUAGAAAUGACUGCUAAUACCGCAUAAGAUCACCGAGCCGCAUGGCUCGGUGGGAAAAACUCCGGUGGUAUGGGAUGGACCCGCGUCUGAUUAGGUAGUUGGUAGGGUAACGGCCUACCAAGCCAACGAUCAGUAGCCGACCUGAGAGGGUGACCGGCCACACUGGGACUGAGACACGGCCCAGACUCCUACGGGAGGCAGCAGUGGGGAAUAUUGCACAAUGGGCGAAAGCCUGAUGCAGCGACGCCGCGUGAGCGAAGAAGUAUUUAGGGAUGUAAAGCUCUAUCAGCAGGGAAGAAAAUGACGGUACCUGAAGAAGAAGCACCGGCUAAAUACGUG
RNAcentral lists this ribosomal RNA (479 nucleotides) under uncultured bacterium. Its description in RNAcentral is "partial 16S ribosomal RNA". It matches the Rfam family "Bacterial small subunit ribosomal RNA", at positions 28 to 507 of the family's 1533-position model. The record is from RNAcentral.